This 80-nucleotide small RNA is filed under the name Marmota monax (woodchuck). The record is from RNAcentral. Lineage: Eukaryota; Metazoa; Chordata; Mammalia; Rodentia; Sciuridae.
GCUGGGUGUAGUGGUGCAUGCCUGUAAUCCCAGCACUUAGGAGGCUGAGGCAGGAGGAUCAUGUUCAAAGCCAGCCUCAG